Molecule: ribosomal RNA, 1234 nt
Filed under: metagenome
Description: bacterial LSU rRNA
Rfam family: Bacterial large subunit ribosomal RNA
Source: RNAcentral
UGAGUACGAGAUGCUACGGCAUCGAAGCAGUCUAUGUCAUACUUCCAAGAAAAGCUCGCACUGUCAUAAACAAAUAAUGCCUGUACCAUAACCGACACAGGUGGGUAGGUAGAGUAUACUAAGGGGCGCGAGAUAACUCUCUCUAAGGAACUCGGCAAAAUGACUCCGUAACUUCGGGAGAAGGAGUGCCUUAUUUAUAAGGUUGCAAUAACAAGAUCCAAGCAACUGUUUAUCAAAAACACAGGUCUCCGCUAAGUCGUAAGACGAUGUAUGGGGGCUGACGCCUGCCCAGUGCCAGAAGGUUAAAGAAGUUGGUUAGCAUUAGCGAAGCUGAUAACUGAAGCCCUGGUGAACGGCGGCCGUAACUAUAACGGUCCUAAGGUAGCGAAAUUCCUUGUCGGGUAAGUUCCGACCCGCACGAAAGGCGUAAUGAUUUGGAUACUGUCUCGGAGAGGGGCUCGGUGAAAUAGACUUGUCUGUGAAGAUGCGGACUACCUGCACCAGGACAGAAAGACCCUAUGAAGCUUUACUGUAACUUGAAAUUGAAAUUGGACUUUAUUUGCGCAGCAUAGGUGGGAGGCGUUGAAAAUAUUCUCGCGGGAAUAUUAGAGCCAUCAGUGAGAUACCACUCUUGUAAUGUUAGAUUUCUAACUUUGUAUCAUUAUCUGGUCAAAGAACAGUUUCAGGCGGGCAGUUUGACUGGGGCGGUCGCCUCCUAAACGGUAACGGAGGCGCACAAAGGUUUCCUCUGAACGGGUAGAAAUCGUAUCUAGAGUGUAAAGGCAUAAGGAAGCUUGACUGUGAGACCUACAAGUCGAGCAGGGACGAAAGUCGGUCUUAGUGAUCUGACGGUGCUGAGUGGAAAGGCCGUCACUCAACGGAUAAAAGUUACUCUAGGAUAACAGGCUGAUCUCCCCCAAGAGUUCACAUCGACGGGGAGGUUUGGCACCUCGAUGUCGGCUCAUCGCAUCCUGGGGCGGUAGUACGUCCCAAGGGUUGGGCUGUUCGCCCAUGAAAGCGGUACGCGAGCUGGGUUCAGAACGUCGUGAGACAGUUCGGUCCAUAUCCGGUGUAGGCGUUAGAAUAUUGAGAGGAGCCUUCUUUAGUACGAGAGGACCGAGAAGGACAUACCUCUGGUGUACCAGUUAUCGUGCCAACGGUAAACGCUGGGUAGCUAUGUAUGGAGAGGAUAACCGCUGAAAGCAUCUAAGCGGGAAGCCCACCUCAAGAUAAG